GAUGAACGCUGGCGGCGUGCCUAAUACAUGCAAGUCGAGCGAACGGACGAGAAGCUUGCUUCUCUGAUGUUAGCGGCGGACGGGUGAGUAACACGUGGAUAACCUACCUAUAAGACUGGGAUAACUUCGGGAAACCGGAGCUAAUACCGGAUAAUAUUUUGAACCGCAUGGUUCAAAAGUGAAAGACGGUCUUGCUGUCACUUAUAGAUGGAUCCGCGCUGCAUUAGCUAGUUGGUAAGGUAACGGCUUACCAAGGCAACGAUGCAUAGCCGACCUGAGAGGGUGAUCGGCCACACUGGAACUGAGACACGGUCCAGACUCCUACGGGAGGCAGCAGUAGGGAAUCUUCCGCAAUGGGCGAAAGCCUGACGGAGCAACGCCGCGUGAGUGAUGAAGGUCUUCGGAUCGUAAAACUCUGUUAUUAGUGAAGAACAUAUGUGUAAGUAACUGUGCACAUCUUGACGGUACCUAACCAGAAAGCCACGGCUAACUACGUG
RNAcentral lists this ribosomal RNA (497 nucleotides) under uncultured bacterium. RNAcentral describes it as "partial 16S ribosomal RNA". It matches the Rfam family "Bacterial small subunit ribosomal RNA", at positions 28 to 507 of the family's 1533-position model. The record is from RNAcentral.